Molecule: non-coding RNA, 674 nt
Organism: Cinara cedri
Lineage: Eukaryota; Metazoa; Arthropoda; Insecta; Hemiptera; Aphididae
Source: the annotation of a GenBank genome assembly
UAGUCGGAUCAUUUUAAAAGUCAUUGGGCACAUUUUUAAUUAUAGGAUUAUCCAGAUUUACUGAUUCUACAUACUCCACAUUUUCAUCAACUGCUGGCAGAUGUAUUUCAUCUGAAUGUGAAAAAUAUAGGUCUACCUGUUCAGGUACUUUAAAAUGGUCAAACUCAUCAUAAUCACCAUCAUAAAACCCAUCAUCAGAACCUUCUGGUAUUUCGAAUAAUGCAUCAAUCAUUAUUUAUUUUUUUUUCAGUUAGUCCUUUAAAUUUCGACAUUGUUCGAUCUCAAAUUAAAACACAUGAAGUGAAAAAAUUAUGCCUAUCCAGCGGCAAAUUCAACAAAUAAAAAUCACAAAAAUCACAAAAAACAAUAUUCUAAUUUGUAUAAUCAUAGAUAACAUUGAUUAGAAGUCUGUGCGUAUAUAGUUGCAUUCGUGCAACCGUUAAUGAUUUUUGGUUACAGUUGUACCAACCAUCCAAAACAACUAUACGACAUUUUUUCACCGUAUUUUACUAUCAAAAAAUAAUUUUCAUUUGCCGAAAUCAUGUAUAUUUUCAACAUGAAAAACAAAUAAACUUACCUAAACCCUUAUGAAUGAUUAUCUACUGACUACCAUCUGAUUUUAUGAUAUGUUUGAAAAUACCGAAUACCGAAUAACCAAAUGUUACAUUACUAAU